AAGUCGUAACAAGGUCUCCGUUGGUGAACCAGCGGAGGGAUCAUUACCGAGUUUACAACUCCCAAACCCCUGUGAACCUACCACUAAACAGUUGCUUCGGCGGGUGGGCGCCCUUCCCCAGGGAAAGGCGACCCGCUAGACCGCCCGCCGGAGGUACCCAAAACUCUUGUUUAACUAAAAGGCCUCUCUGAGUACUGUACUUAAAUAAGUCAAAACUUUCAACAACGGAUCUCUUGGUUCUG
This 242-nucleotide unclassified non-coding RNA is filed under the name Cercophora samala. RNAcentral describes it as "partial internal transcribed spacer region". The stretch from base 1 to 46 matches the Rfam family "Eukaryotic small subunit ribosomal RNA", at positions 1786 to 1831 of the family's 1831-position model. The record is from RNAcentral. Lineage: Eukaryota; Fungi; Ascomycota; Sordariomycetes; Sordariales; Lasiosphaeriaceae.